GAGAUAAGCUACUAAGAGCACAUGGCGGAUGCCUUGGCGCCAAAGGCCGAAGAAGGACGUGGUUGGCUGCGAUAAGCCGCGUAGAGCCGUCAACAGGCGUAAUAUGCGCGGAUUUCCGAAUGGGGUAACCCCCUCCAAGUCAUGUUGGAGGACCUGCGUGUUGAAUCCAUAGAUGCGCGGGAGGGCACCGGGGGAACUGAAACAUCUCAGUACCCCGAGGAAAAGAGACCAUUCCCCUAGUAGUGGCGAGCGAACGGGGACAAGCCUAAACCACUGUGCCGUAAGGUGCAGUGGGGUUGUAGGGCUCGGCAUAUGAGAGUUACCAAACUGAUUUCUAGCGGAAGGAUUCUGGAAAGUUCCGUCAUAGCGGGUGAUAGCCCCGUACGCGAAAGAAAUCAGACUCUCGUCGAGUUCCUGAGUACCACGGGGCACGCUAAUCCUGUGGGAAUCCGGGGAGUCCACUCUCUAAGGCUAAAUACCUUUGGCGACCGAUAGUGAACAAGUACCGUGAGGGAAAGGUGAAAAGUACGGCUGUGAGCCGAGUGAAAUAGAACCUGAAACCGUGUGCUUACAAGCAGUGGAAGGACUAUGCCAGAUUGUGAUGCGCGCAAGCGCGUCUGCUGGAACGUCUGACCGCGUGCCUCUUGAAGAAUGAGCGAGCGAGUUACUUCUCUGUGGCAAGGAUAAGGGAGUGACACCCGGAUCCGUAGCGAAAGCGAGUCCGAAUAGGGCGAUCAGUCGCAGGGAGUAGACCCGAAACCCGGUGAGCUACUUAUGGGCAGGUUGAAGCGGCGGUAACACGUCGUGGAGGACCGAACUCUUUAGCGUUGCAAAGCUAUGAGAUGACCUGUGAGUAGGUGGUGAAAUGCCUAACGAACCGGGAGAUAGCUGGUUCUCCCCGAAAUAACUCUAGGGUUAGCCUCGUAUGUUUAGUGGCGGAGGUAGAGCACUGGAUUGGCUAGGGGGCGUCAAGCUUACCAACCCAAACCAAACUCCGAAUGCCGCCACUCCAAGUACGGGAGUCGGACUACGUGGGAUGAGCUUCGUAGUCAAAAGGGAAACAGCCCAGAUCGUCGAAUAAGGUCCUCAAGUCUAUGCUAAGUGGGAAACGAUGUGAGAUUGUUCUGACAGCCAGGAGGUUGGCUUAGAAGCAGCCACCCUUUAAAGAGUGCGUAAUAGCUCACUGGUCAAACGGUCUCGCGCGGAAAAUGUAACGGGGCUCAAGCAUAGCACCGAUUUCACGAACUCUGCUGUAAAGCAAAGUGGUAGGGGAGCGUUCUGGGAGCAGCGAAGCACGACGGCGACGACGUGUGGAGCGACCAGAAGUGAGAAUGCUCGCAUAAGUAGCGAAAUUAGAGUGAGAAACUCUAACGCCGGAAGCCUGAGGGUUCAGACGCAAGGGUAAUCCGCGUCUGGUUAGUCGGCCCUAAGCUGAGGACGAAAGUCGUAAGCGAUGGACAUUCGGUUAAUAUUCCGAAACUAUCUGAGUUGAGUGAAGGGGUGACGCAGUAGGAUAGCCCAGCCUGCCUAUCGGACAUGGUAGGUGCUAAGCCGCGAGGAGUUGAGGGGAGUAGGCAAAUCCGCUCCCUGAUCUGAGCGGUGGGCGGCGCCGCAAGGCCACAAGUGGGUGAUUCCAAACUGCCGAGAAAAGCCUCUAAGCGUUGAAACUUGGAUACCCGUACCGCAAACCGACACAGGUGGGCGGCAUGAGAAAUGCAAGGCGAUCGGGAGAACCUCCGUUAAGGAACUCGGCAAAAUGCACCCGUAACUUCGGGAGAAGGGUGGCUUGUCUGCGUCAGAUUAUCUCAAAGCGCGGGCAAGUCGCAGCGAAGCGGCUCGACUGACUGUUUAACAAAAACACAGGUCUCUGCAAACGCGCAAGCGGAUGUAUAGGGGCUGACUCCUGCCCAGUGCCGGAAGGUUAAAGGGAGAGGUUAGGUCCGCCGCAAGGCGAGCCGAAGCUUUGAACUGAAGCCCCGGUGAACGGCGGCCGUAACUAUAAACUCGACCGUUGUAGUUACGAAAAUAAACUUGGCCAUAUGCUGGAAACCCUGAGUAUCUGGCGCUACUGCCGCGCAAGCGGCAGUGACAAAGCGUCCGGUGCAGGCAAUCAGCAGGAAAGGCUCAGUCAGGUGAGCGAACGAGAAUCUUUGGAUGAAACCGGACACUACCUCGCUGGAUUUGUGGAUGGCGAAGGGAGUUUCAACGUCAGCAUCAAGAAGGUCAACGACCGAAAACUUGGAUGGCGCGUUGGGGCUUGCUUCAAUGUCUCGCAACGUGAACGACACAUUCUUGAGCUCUUGCAACGAACUUUGGAAUGUGGUACAAUUCGGCGGAGAUGGGAUGGGGUUCACUACUUUGAGGUCAACAGUUUUCAUGAUCUCAAAGAAAAGGUGAUCCCAUUCUUUCGCAAAUACCCGUUGCGCUCUCCAAACAAGAACGAAACACUUGGAGUAUUCGCUCGGAUUUGCGAAAUGAUGUGUAACGGUAUGCAUCUCACAUCGGAUGGCGUCCGCGAAAUUGUUCAUCUGCGAAAUCAGAUGAACAACGAAAUGAGCAAGCGCCAUCGAGAUGACCAGGAAAUUCUCGAUUCGAUUCAAGACUGAGAAUCCUCAGAGACUAUACGCCAAGUAUGCAAAGAUCGACCGUAACGCCGCUGAUCUCUGCGUAAUGAUAUAGUCCGAUCUCUGUAGCGAUACAGAGGGCUACAAAGCCACACGCGCAAGCGUGCAACAGUACGAACGGUCCUAAGGUAGCGAAAUUCCUUGUCGGGUAAGUUCCGACCCGCACGAAAGGAGUAACAAGUUGAGCGCUGUCUCAACGGGGGACCCGGCGAAAUUGAAAUAGUGGUGAAGAUGCCAUUUACCCGCACUAGGACAAAAAGACCCCGUGGAGCUUUACUGUACCCUGGCAUUGAGUUGAGGUUUGUUGUGCGUAGGAUAUCUGGGAGGCUUUGAAGCUGGGCUUGCGGGCUCGGUGGAGCCAACGUUGAAAUACCAGACUCAAGAAAUUUCGACCCUAACGUCUAGCCGUAAUCCGGCGGACGGACCGUGCCAGGCGGGCAGUUUGACUGGGGCGGUCGCCUCCUAAAAUGUAACGGAGGCGCCCAAAGGUUCCCUCAGGCUGAAUGGAAACCAGCCACUGAGUGCAAAGGCAUAAGGGAGCUUGACUGCGAGACCUACAAGUCGAGCAGAGACGAAAGUCGGGCUUAAUGAUCCCACGACUCUGUGUGGAAAGGUCGUGGCUUAUCGGACAAAAGCUACCCCGGGGAUAACAGGCUGGUGAGAUCCAAGCGUUCACAGCGACGAUCUCGCUCGGCACCUCGAUGUCGGCUCGUCGCAUCCUGGGGCUGAAUUAGGUCCCAAGGGUUGGGCUGUUCGCCCAUUAAAGCGGUACGCGAGCUGGGUUCAGAACGUCGUGAGACAGUUCGGUCUCUAUCCAGUGUGGGCGCAGGGGAUUUGAGGGGAGUUGCCCUUAGUACGAGAGGACCAGGGUGAACGGACCGCUGGUGUGCCAGUUGUCGUGCCAACGGCAUUGCUGGGUAGCCAAGUUCGGCAGUGAUAACCGCUGAAUGCAUCUAAGUGGGAAGCAUGCCCCAAGACUAGAUCCCCCAUCGGUUUACCGAGUAAGCGCGGUCGUAGACUACGACCUUGAUAGGUCGCAGGUGUAAGCGUGGUGACACGUUCAGCUAAGCGAUACUAAUGCGCGAGGGCUUUCUCUC
RNAcentral lists this ribosomal RNA (3721 nucleotides) under Chloroflexota bacterium. Its description in RNAcentral is "Chloroflexi bacterium (freshwater metagenome) 23S ribosomal RNA". It matches the Rfam family "Bacterial large subunit ribosomal RNA". Lineage: Bacteria; Bacillati; Chloroflexota. The record is from RNAcentral.